CAUGCAAGUCGAACGGAACAACAGCUUCGGUUGUUGUUUAGUGGCGGAAGGGUUAGUAAUACAUAGAUAAUCUGUCCUCAACUUGGGAAUAACGAUUGGAAACGGUCGCUAAUACCGAAUGUGGUAUAUUUUAGGCAUCUAAAGUAUAUUAAAGAAGGGGAUCUUCGGACCUUUUGGUUGAGGGAGAGUCUAUGGGAUAUCAGCUUGUUGGUGGGGUAAUGGCCUACCAAGGCUUUGACGUCUAGGCGGAUUGAGAGAUUGACCGCCAACACUGGGACUGAGACACUGCCCAGACUCCUACGGGAGGCUGCAGUCGAGAAUCUUUCGCAAUGGACGAAAGUCUGACGAAGCGACGCCGCGUGUGUGAUGAAGGCCUUAGGGUUGUAAAGCACUUUCGCCUGGGAAUAAGAGAGAUUGGCUAAUAUCCAAUUGAUUUGAGCGUACCAGGUAAAGAAGCACCGGCUAACUCCGUGCCAGCAGCUGCGGUAAUACGGAGGGUGCUAGCGUUAAUCGGAUUUAUUGGGCGUAAAGGGCGUGUAGGCGGAAAGGAAAGUUAGAUGUUAAAUCUUGGAGCUCAACUCCAAACAGGCAUCUAAUACUAUCUUUCUAGAGGUUAGAUGGAGAAAAGGGAAUUCCACGUGUAGCGGUGAAAUGCGUAGAUAUGUGGAAGAACACCAGUGGCGAAGGCGCUUUUCUAAUUUAUUCCUGACGCUGAGGCGCGAAAGCAAGGGGAGCAAACAGGAUAG
This 746-nucleotide ribosomal RNA is filed under the name uncultured Chlamydia sp. RNAcentral's name for it is "bacterial SSU rRNA". It matches the Rfam family "Bacterial small subunit ribosomal RNA", at positions 54 to 780 of the family's 1533-position model. The record is from RNAcentral. Lineage: Bacteria; Pseudomonadati; Chlamydiota; Chlamydiia; Chlamydiales; Chlamydiaceae.